Molecule: ribosomal RNA, 311 nt
Filed under: uncultured Anoxybacillus sp.
Lineage: Bacteria; Bacillati; Bacillota; Bacilli; Caryophanales; Anoxybacillaceae
Description: bacterial SSU rRNA
Rfam family: Bacterial small subunit ribosomal RNA
Source: RNAcentral
UGAGAUGUGGUUAAGUCCCGCAACGAGCGCAACCCUCGACCUUAGUUGCCAGCAUUCAGUUGGGCACUCUAAGGUGACUGCCGGCUAAAAGUCGGAGGAAGGUGGGGAUGACGUCAAAUCAUCAUGCCCCUUAUGACCUGGGCUACACACGUGCUACAAUGGGCGGUACAAAGGGUCGCGAACCGCGAGGGGGAGCCAAUCCCAAAAAAGCCGCUCUCAGUUCGGAUUGCAGGCUGCAACUCGCCUGCAUGAAGCCGGAAUCGCUAGUAAUCGCGGAUCAGCAUGCCGCGGUGAAUACGUUCCCGGGCCUU